Molecule: ribosomal RNA, 554 nt
Filed under: Pseudomonas sp. E31
Lineage: Bacteria; Pseudomonadati; Pseudomonadota; Gammaproteobacteria; Pseudomonadales; Pseudomonadaceae
Description: bacterial SSU rRNA
Rfam family: Bacterial small subunit ribosomal RNA
Source: RNAcentral
GAACGCUGGCGGCAGGCCUAACACAUGCAAGUCGAGCGGUAGAGAGGUGCUUGCACCUCUUGAGAGCGGCGGACGGGUGAGUAAUGCCUAGGAAUCUGCCUGGUAGUGGGGGAUAACGCUCGGAAACGGACGCUAAUACCGCAUACGUCCUACGGGAGAAAGCAGGGGACCUUCGGGCCUUGCGCUAUCAGAUGAGCCUAGGUCGGAUUAGCUAGUUGGUGAGGUAAUGGCUCACCAAGGCGACGAUCCGUAACUGGUCUGAGAGGAUGAUCAGUCACACUGGAACUGAGACACGGUCCAGACUCCUACGGGAGGCAGCAGUGGGGAAUAUUGGACAAUGGGCGAAAGCCUGAUCCAGCCAUGCCGCGUGUGUGAAGAAGGUCUUCGGAUUGUAAAGCACUUUAAGUUGGGAGGAAGGGCAUUAACCUAAUACGUUAGUGUUUUGACGUUACCGACAGAAUAAGCACCGGCUAACUCUGUGCCAGCAGCCGCGGUAAUACAGAGGGUGCAAGCGUUAAUCGGAAUUACUGGGCGUAAAGCGCGCGUAGGUGGUU